UGGCACGGGUUUCACAACAGUCUCAAGUGUUCUCAAAGUCAUCCGAAGAGUGGUGUAAGGACAAUGGUUCAAUCACUUUGCCUUCAACACAAACAACGCUUCAACCUUCUGCACACUCAUGGGAAAUGGGCAGAGCCAAUGAUGAUGGACAGUCCAAUCUUCCAACCAGACACCCUUAAGAAGGACAUGUCUCUGGCCCACUACCUUUGGCCCAGCCAGAGCUGAAGCGGACGGAGGAAUGCAGCUCGAGCGCCGGCGUGUCAGAUCGACUGAACGUCAGCACGUUAGGACCCGGCUCACUGGUGCCGUCAGUCAGACAUGGAUCUAACAGACAUGGAUCAUAGAUAGUCCUGCCAGUUACAAAAGACCUUUGGGGCCGAUAGAAAGACAUUGACUUGGAAGUGGCCCCUAAAAUGCCAGACAUGGAGGCAUUUUGGAUUCGGAUCAAUGGCAUAAUCUGGUGCCUCGGAGACUGUGAACUUCCUCUUGCUUGUACGGGUCAAAGGGGAAACAACAGGCAAUGGUUCAAACUUAAUGUUAUUGCGGCUACAAUGGAGGAAAUGUGAUUCCUUUCCAUCGGCUACUAAAAUUUGCUGGAUUCUGUGGGCGGAAACUAAAAGGGGGUUCAGGGUUUUAACUUCACCUCUUUCACGCUCAUGGCUUUAAUUGGGAUGUGUGUGGUCUGACACAAAUACUGCGUGGGUGACGAGAAGCGAAAAGUAUGAUACCACCUUCCCACAAACACACUAAGAGAUGGUGUGAAAGAGAGAGAGUAUGUAUUGUAGCAGGCUGCAGGCACUCCUGUGAACGGUGAGUCUCAUAAAUCCAGCUGUGUGUGAUUUGUGCCAUAGCAUUGUUAUGAAACUCACUUCAUGGUAAUAGAGGACGGCGUGGAAAAAACUACACAGAAAUCAAACAUAUCCAUCAAAUUAACACAUCAAUGGCUUGAUUGUAAUCUCCCCCGGCCCUGUACCGCAAACACUUGCUCUGCCACCACCGGGUACAGAGCCUUGAUUUAUCAAUGCAAAGCUAAUAGCAUCAAUAUGAAUCUAACUAAAAAUCAAUAUUUCAUUACUAAAUUGUUGGAGGGAAUGAAGAGGGAUGAGAGGGGUGGGAUAGUUCUCCUGGGUGAGAGCAUCUGGAGUUCACCGUGACAUGAUGAGUGAUGCGUGACUCUGGGUCGCCGGGAGAGGACAAGGAGAGGACAGCAGGCCUGAGCCUUAUGACGGCCAUGCUGCUGCGUCUCCAACUCUGUGGCUCAUCUUUUGUUGUCUCUGCCUUUCUUCAUGUUUAUUUCAUUUCAUUCUUCAUGCCUUCAUUUCAUUUUUCCGUUUUGCUUAAUUUACUGACACUUUUAAAAAAGUUUAAAUUAGCAUUUCAGGAUGUUUAUCAGUUUUUGUGUGCCCUGGGAAUCAAACCUGUGACCUCAGCAUCACCUGCGCAGCGUUCGACAAGUUGAGUUUACAUGAACACCAGGUUGUGUUGUCUUUUCCUUCCUUUUUCUGCACUUGACAACAUGAUCAUUAGUAUUUUUAGGGUUUCUUAGAUGAAGUGUGAAUGUAGCACACAUAUAUUUUCAUAUUGUAUAGAAACUGAACUGUUUUAAUUAUUUCUGUCAUAAAUUGUUUUACUUAAAUAUCAAUGCCAACAAAUUUAGCCAAUGCAUUUACCUACAAAAUAUACUGUAACUCACACCCACAGUAAAUGAGUAAAACACAAGUGACAACUAUUUUUAGCCAUACAAUGCGCAUAUACUGUAACAGUACUUUUUCUAGUCCGACUGGAUUUAAUUAAUAAAUAAAUUAAAUAUAAAUAUAAAACGUGUCCUUGACAGGAUUUCAAAGAUUUAAAGUAUUCAUAAAAUAUUUGUUUAAUGAUUUACAUUUCAGAUGCAUUUAAUUUGAUUUAAUUAAUUUACAGUUCAAACAGUCUAAAUUGUAUUUGUACAUUCUUAUUUAUGCCCACAAAUAACAAUAUAAUAACAGAAAUGAGAUAUUUCUGUGUUAAAUUAUGUGUAAAUACAGUAUACUACUCUUCUCUAUAAACAUCUAUAAUGAUUACACCUCUGUGUUUCUUUUCCCUCUAUGGAACUGUCUGUUUUGUAGCCACGUGUCGAUACUAAAAGAUCUGAGACCAACAGAACUCUCCUUUCCAUUUUCCAUUUAUCGCUAACCAUCAGACACUCCGAUACACACACGAUUAGCCACAGUGUACGAAAUCGUAGGCAGAAGAGUCUUCGCCCUUCGCUGCCUCCGUACAAAGUCUGUUUUGCCAUUCCUCCACUCUUCAAACGCCAAACAUUUAGACUAUUUACCAUUUAAAUGAUCGGCGUUAUUUAUCUAGCAGCCUGUGAGAGUGCUUUCGACAUGCACAGAUUGACAUGCCUAUGUUUUUAAUGCCUCGGGGCAAACCCUCUAGAGCUUAAAACCAACAGACUUUCUGCUAGUGCGGAAAAAAUACCAUUUGAUCUCCGAAGGAGCAGCAGCCGCGCUAAUGAUGAUAUGCCAGCGCUAGCUAACUUUUAACAGAGAGGAAAGAGGGAAUGUAGAAAAAACGCAAAGUAUGACAACUCCCAAAGGUGAGAUCUGUGCCAAUGGUUUGUUUGCACUUCCUUCAGGGCUUCAAGAAUUCGUUUAUUUUUCCUGAUACAUUUCCAUCCUAUUAAUUCAUCUCUUUUUUAGGGUCAAGUUUGCGCUAAUAUCUCCAAAAUAAAUGUCCCAAUAGAGGGGUGAAUAUGUGGAGAGCUUGGAAUUUUAAGAGACAGCUGUAGGAGAAAGAGAGGAUGUGAUGUCAAGGUAUCCCAGUCGAGAUGUUAGCUCAGCAGAGCUGUGAUCGGUAUUGUAUCACACGGGCUACGCCAGAGACGAGCCAAGCCCCAUGCCGACUGCCGUAAUUAUUAGCUGCAAACGGCCUCAGCUUGAGCACUAUUAGAGCGGAUUAACAAACGUUCCAGCCAUAAUUAUCAAAGGUGCAAAAGCAGGUGUUUAGGAACCGAAUUAACGGAGGAGGAACCAGGAGCUGCUGGGAGCAAAUCAGAGGAGAGCGUAAAACAUCAGUUUGAAGGGGGGUGGGAGGGAAUAAACUUCAUUAAAAAUCAGCAAAUUUGUUUUCAGACUUUUUGUCUGAUUUUCAAAUCGCCGGGACCUGCUCUACCGUCGCCACUUUUAACACGUGAUUAAACAGCACAGAGGAAGAGGGAAUCUGUUGGAGAGGAAUCGUCUGGGGAGAGCUUCCGUGUUUCGAGGCAGAUGUUUGUUCAUAGGCGGACUGGAGAAGUGUGGCCGUUUCCCCAAGGAGAGCCAGGAAGUGUCGGUCCCAGAGGAAAUAACCAGAACGACAGUUCUAGUGACUACAAAAUGCUCUUUCUUUGAAGAAAGAGUCAGAUACAUACUUUUGACUUCAUGACGGGAGGACAAUUUCAUCUGGAGCUGAUGGACUAUUCCACAGAGACGGGAAAUCUUCAGCGGCUGUAUCUCUGAUGAGUAUCAGCUAUUAGCUGUUCUCUGCUGGAUAUUCUCCUGGGCUCUGCUUCUGCUGAGCGCUGGGCUGCUCCGCUCUUUCCUUAUCAUGCCUGUCCACCUGUCACACUUGGCCUUCUGUCCACUCCCCGCUGCGAAAGUGAGAUUCGCAUUGGUCUUUGGUGUCCUAUCCAAUCUCUUUUGUUCUCUUGUGCUCUCCUGAUUUGACUGGAUUGUGGAAGAAAGAUGAUUGUGUAGCCUCAGGUAAGAUUUUGUAGCUUUACAUAUCAAAGUCACUAAAUAUAUUUUUCUCUCACACACAGGCUAAGGAGGGGGGAUUGUCGAGGGGGGAAAGUUCCAAGCCAAGUUUUUAUGGAGGAUUGUUUGCUUUAGCGCAUGAGAAGAACAAAUCCAGCGAAACAAAAGGGAUUACGGAGCAGUGUCGCUGUUGUGUUAUUUAUCUAUUCUGCUUUUUUCCAGGGCGAUGUGUCAAUGUCAUGAGACUCUACUUGCAGAAUGCUCGGUAAACAUGGGAAGCUAAACAAGGUGUUUGUAAAUGACAGAAAAUGGGGCUGAUCUCUCAACUCUUCCUCUUUGUGUGCUACAUCAGUAUCUUUCUUUCUCUCGCUGAGGAAAUGCAUACUGCAGUCGCUGUGAUUUAUCAUCUAUACAUAAUGUAAUACCGCAUGAGCUUCAAUGGCUCAAUCAGUUAUGUUAUUUCAAGAUUAAACUAUUAACUACUGAGCGCUCAAAUCUAAUAAAAUAUCUAUAGCACACUGGAUUAAUAUUCUAUAUUCAGAAUCAAUCUGCAAACUAAGUUCUCUGAA
This is a long non-coding RNA of Triplophysa rosa, 4285 nucleotides long. RefSeq lists it as uncharacterized. NCBI's taxonomy places the organism in Eukaryota, Metazoa, Chordata, Actinopteri, Cypriniformes, Nemacheilidae. The transcript has 9 exons. The record is from RefSeq and is a predicted model, not a curated record.